AUGUUCGGGUAAUCGCUGUAUUCCUGAGAGAAUAUAGAGGAAAGUCCAUGCUCGCACGGUCUGAGACGACCGUAGUGUUCGUGCCUGGCGAAGUCAUAAGCCAGGGUAGUUCGGAGUUUUCUGGGCUAACGGCAGGAAAAAGGCCUGUGUUCCGGCAGGAAUAUGGCCCAGUAUCCUUGAAAGUGCCAUAGUGACGAUGUCUUCCGGAAACGGGAGAAGUGGAACGCGGUAAACCCCUCGAGCGGGAAACUCAAAUUUGGUAGAGGAACCCUUUGGAAGGAAUCAAACGGAAAAAGGGACAGGCUAUCCUGUAGAUAGAUGAUUACCCCUUCUGUACGAGGGACGUGUUGUCCCGUCUGAGUGCGGAAGGACAGAACAUGGCUUACAGAA
This 390-nucleotide RNase P RNA is filed under the name Sporolactobacillus sp. THM7-7. Its description in RNAcentral is "RNase P RNA component class B". It matches the Rfam family "Bacterial RNase P class B". From Rfam's summary of the family: Ribonuclease P (RNase P) is a ubiquitous endoribonuclease, found in archaea, bacteria and eukarya as well as chloroplasts and mitochondria. Lineage: Bacteria; Bacillati; Bacillota; Bacilli; Caryophanales; Sporolactobacillaceae. The record is from RNAcentral.